CUACGGGUCGCUGCAGUGAGGAAUAUUGCACAAUGGGGGGAACCCUGAUGCAGCAACGCCGCGUGGAGGAUGACGCAUUUCGGUGUGUAAACUCCUUUUAUAUGUCAAGGAAAUGACGGUAGCAUAUGAAUAAGCACCGGCUAACUCCGUGCCAGCAGCCGCGGUAGUACGGAGGGUGCAAGCGUUACUCGGAAUCACUGGGCGUAAAGGACGCGUAGGCGGGUUGGAAAGUCAGGUGUGAAAUCCUACAGCUUAACUGUAGAACUGCACUUGAAACUUCUAAUCUAGAGUAUGGGAGGGGGAGAUGGAAUUAGUGGUGUAGGGGUAAAAUCCGUAGAUAUCACUAGGAAUACCUAAAGCGAAGGCGAUCUCCUGGAACAUUACUGACGCUAAGGCGUGAAAGCGUGGGGAGCAAACAGGAUUAGAUACCCUCGUAGUC
RNAcentral lists this ribosomal RNA (439 nucleotides) under uncultured bacterium. RNAcentral describes it as "partial 16S ribosomal RNA". It matches the Rfam family "Bacterial small subunit ribosomal RNA", at positions 339 to 795 of the family's 1533-position model. The record is from RNAcentral.